AACGGACGAGAAGCUUGCUUCUCUGAUGUUAGCGGCGGACGGGUGAGUAACACGUGGAUAACCUACCUAUAAGACUGGGAUAACUUCGGGAAACCGGAGCUAAUACCGGAUAAUAUUUUGAACCGCAUGGUUCAAAAGUGAAAGACGGUCUUGCUGUCACUUAUAGAUGGAUCCGCGCUGCAUUAGCUAGUUGGUAAGGUAACGGCUUACCAAGGCAACGAUGCAUAGCCGACCUGAGAGGGUGAUCGGCCACACUGGAACUGAGACACGGUCCAGACUCCUACGGGAGGCAGCAGUAGGGAAUCUUCCGCAAUGGGCGAAAGCCUGACGGAGCAACGCCGCGUGAGUGAUGAAGGUCUUCGGAUCGUAAAACUCUGUUAUUAGGGAAGAACAUAUGUGUAAGUAACUGUGCACAUCUUGACGGUACCUAAUCAGAAAGCCACGGCUAACUACGUGCCAGCAGCCGCGGUAAUACGUAGGUGGCAAGCGUUAUCCGGAAUUAUUGGGCGUAAAGCGCGCGUAGGCGGUUUUUUAAGUCUGAUGUGAAAGCCCACGGCUCAACCGUGGAGGGUCAUUGGAAACUGGAAAACUUGAGUGCAGAAGAGGAAAGUGGAAUUCCAUGUGUAGCGGUGAAAUGCGCAGAGAUAUGGAGGAACACCAGUGGCGAAGG
This 670-nucleotide ribosomal RNA is filed under the name Staphylococcus aureus. Its description in RNAcentral is "bacterial SSU rRNA". It matches the Rfam family "Bacterial small subunit ribosomal RNA", at positions 65 to 721 of the family's 1533-position model. Lineage: Bacteria; Bacillati; Bacillota; Bacilli; Caryophanales; Staphylococcaceae. The record is from RNAcentral.